UCUCUCGAGUAGACGCUGUCUCUUUAGAUGCGAGGGAAAAAUAGCACUUUAUGGACUUCCACAGAGGACAUCAUGUUUAAUACGGUUCCGGAAAAAUCCAGUCAGAAGAUGUUCACGGAGUUUUCACAAUAACUGCUUCUCAUGAACCGAAGCUGGACGUCUCCUCCUGAAAGUUGGAUUAACGUUACUGUGCACUUCUGGAUCACAGGCUAUUCGCAGCUGGACACAUCCUUCUACACUGUAUGCAAACAUGCAACAUCAUAACACACAGUACAAGGAGUCAGACUGGCAUAUGAGGAGCAAAGGUGUGUAACACAAAUGAUGUAUUUAGCUAAUGAAACCACUACCAGUCUUAAAUGUAUAACUGAUGAUGACAAAGUUUUUUUUCUCUGCAUAAUCAUAGGAACCCACGCAGUAGCAUCGUUUCACAAUGUUUCCAUCACCAUCAUCAGUGGAUGCCUUUGCCGUCCGUACCCUGAGAUUUCAGAUUUGCAGCAAAAAAUUUGACUUUCCCAUUUAUUGGAAUGCUGUGCAGGUUGUACCUUGCAGCCAUCCAUUACAAUGUCACCAAGCCGUAACAAAAGCAAGAGAGGGAAAGUACAAGGCUAUGUUCCCAAAACACACA
Molecule: non-coding RNA, 625 nt
Organism: Paramisgurnus dabryanus
Lineage: Eukaryota; Metazoa; Chordata; Actinopteri; Cypriniformes; Cobitidae
Source: RefSeq, a predicted model, not a curated record